GACGAACGCUGGCGGCGUGCCUAAUACAUGCAAGUCGAGCGAAGUUUUUCUGGUGCUUGCACUAGAAAAACUUAGCGGCGAACGGGUGAGUAACACGUAAAGAACCUGCCUCAUAGACUGGGACAACUAUUGGAAACGAUAGCUAAUACCGGAUAACAGUAUUUCUCGCAUGAGAGAUAUUUAAAAGUUGGUUAUGCUAACACUAUGAGAUGGCUUUGCGGUGCAUUAGCUAGUUGGUGGGGUAAAGGCCCACCAAGGCGACGAUGCAUAGCCGACCUGAGAGGGUGAUCGGCCACACUGGGACUGAGACACGGCCCAGACUCCUACGGGAGGCAGCAGUAGGGAAUCUUCCGCAAUGGGCGAAAGCCUGACGGAGCAACGCCGCGUGAGUGAAGAAGGAUUUCGGUUCGUAAAGCUCUGUUGUUAGGGAAGAAUGGAUAUGUAGUACUAUACAUGUAAGAGACGGUACCUAACCAGAAAGCCACGGCUAACUACGUG
RNAcentral lists this ribosomal RNA (498 nucleotides) under uncultured bacterium. Its description in RNAcentral is "partial 16S ribosomal RNA". It matches the Rfam family "Bacterial small subunit ribosomal RNA", at positions 28 to 507 of the family's 1533-position model. The record is from RNAcentral.